AUUGAACGCUGGCGGCAGGCCUAACACAUGCAAGUCGAACGGUAACAGGAAGCAGCUUGCUGCUUCGCUGACGAGUGGCGGACGGGUGAGUAAUGUCUGGGAAACUGCCUGAUGGAGGGGGAUAACUACUGGAAACGGUAGCUAAUACCGCAUAACGUCGCAAGACCAAAGAGGGGGACCUUAGGGCCUCUUGCCAUCGGAUGUGCCCAGAUGGGAUUAGCUAGUAGGUGGGGUAACGGCUCACCUAGGCGACGAUCCCUAGCUGGUGUGAGAGGAUGACCAGCCACACUGGAACUGAGACACGGUCCAGACUCCUACGGGAGGCAGCAGUGGGGAAUAUUGCACAAUGGGCGAAAGCCUGAUGCAGCCAUGCCGCGUGUAUGAAGAAGGCCUUCGGGUUGUAAAGUACUGUCAGCGGGGAGGAAGGGAGUAAAGUGAAGACGUUUGCGCAUUGACGGUACCUGCAGAAGAAGCACCGGCUAACUCCGUG
Molecule: ribosomal RNA, 490 nt
Filed under: uncultured bacterium
Lineage: Bacteria
Description: partial 16S ribosomal RNA
Rfam family: Bacterial small subunit ribosomal RNA
Source: RNAcentral